RNAcentral lists this ribosomal RNA (433 nucleotides) under uncultured bacterium. RNAcentral describes it as "partial 16S ribosomal RNA". It matches the Rfam family "Bacterial small subunit ribosomal RNA", at positions 29 to 507 of the family's 1533-position model. The record is from RNAcentral.
AACGAACGCUGGCGGCAGGCCUAACACAUGCAAGUCGAGCGGACCCUUCGGGGUUAGCGGCGGACGGGGGAGUAACGCGUGGGAAUAUGCCCUUCUCUACGGAAUAGUCCUGGGAAACUGGGGGUAAUACCGUAUACGCCCUUUGGGGGAAAGAUUUAUCGGGGAAGGAUUAGCCCGCGUUGGAUUAGGUAGUUGGUGGGGUAAUGGCCUACCAAGCCGACGAUCCAUAGCUGGUUUGAGAGGAUGAUCAGCCACACUGGGACUGAGACACGGCCCAGACUCCUACGGGAGGCAGCAGUGGGGAAUCUUAGACAAUGGGGGCAACCCUGAUCUAGCCAUGCCGCGUGAGUGAUGAAGGCCUUAGGGUUGUAAAGCUCUUUCAGCUGGGAAGAUAAUGACGGUACCAGCAGAAGAAGCCCCGGCUAACUCCGUG